GUUGUGAGGACAGAUAGUGUCAGUGAGAUAAGUGUGUUCGAGAUAAAGGAGAAUAUAUAGUUGGACACUGACAGAGAGGUGGAGAAAUUAAAAAGGGGGAGGAGCCAAAGAUUGAACCAAGAGCAUGUGUGGGGAAUAUAAAAGCAAAUACAUGCUGGUUUAAUGUUAUAGAGUUUAAAAAACACAGUUGCUGUUGUUGUAUAGAGGUGAAUAAUAAUGAACUCUCUUGAACUGACAAAAUAAAAAAUGUUUUCAUGGUUCAUCUGCUGAAUCCCUUUUCUAACUUAAGGUUGGAAUAGUGGGAUAUGGACAUUUAGGUGAGUUCUCCAAAGAAAACCUGUUUCAACAGCUACAACUUUCUCUGCUUUGAUUAAAUUUGCACUUUAUUAAAACCUGAAAUCCUGACUGCCAUAGUAUUUGCAUUUAUUUCAUAAUGAUAAUCAGUUGCGUGGGAUAAGUAACUGUCCCGGAUCAUGUUUUCACCAUCCUCAGGUGGGCAACCCUUCUGUCCUCUCUGACCCCUGGCGUGAGCAAGAUCUCCGCACUGUUGCAAAACGGCUCUCUCCAUCCAAAUGUCUAAACAUCCCUCUUGCUUUCGGCUUGCUGGUGUUCUGCUCUCUGAUUGGACGGAGACCAGUCUCUGAUUGGAGACAGGACCGGAGAAAUCAUCUCAGAUACUAUGAUCAGACUACCAUAUUGUGGACACUAAGGUCCAGAUGGGUUCACAGUGAAAAUGAUGCGGCAAAACCCUGCCAGACUCGGAGCUGUAACAGGAAAUGCCACAUACAAUUCCUUCUGGAGCAGCUUACUUGGUAUGAGUGUGUAAGAAAGACAGAUGUUGUUAACUGACAGAGUUCAUAGCCCAAAAACCACAAUCUGGAUUUACACAGAGAAUGCAGACAUAAACUGCCUUUGGAACUGUCCUCUUUGCUUUCUGUCCUGCUACAAUUUCACGAAAAGUCCAAAAAUGGUACAUGAAUAUGCCAUUAAAUAUCUCUCUGUAUUAUUAUAUAUUU
Carassius gibelio (silver crucian carp) is the source of this 1016-nucleotide long non-coding RNA. RefSeq lists it as uncharacterized. The record is from RefSeq and is a predicted model, not a curated record. The transcript has 3 exons. Lineage: Eukaryota; Metazoa; Chordata; Actinopteri; Cypriniformes; Cyprinidae.